Cyprinus carpio carpio is the source of this 386-nucleotide long non-coding RNA. Lineage: Eukaryota; Metazoa; Chordata; Actinopteri; Cypriniformes; Cyprinidae. The record is from Ensembl.
UGCUGAUGGCCUGCACCCCAGCAGAGUCGGAGCAGAACUUCUCUCGGACAACAUCUCCAGGACUCUACGCUCCAUAUGACUAGGCAGUUUGUGAAGACAGAUAAUCAAGAGAUGUGACAAACUGUACAGAAGUCAGUUCCAGAUCCACCCUCUACACCAGACCUCUCUCUCAUAUGGAUUGCUGUCUACUAGCAUAUUGUUUUCUCUUCAGACUUCGGUGGAUGCAGAUAUUACUCAGGGACAUGAAUACUUGAAUAUUGCAAGAAUAGAGAAAAACUGGAGAGGUUCUGCAAGGAGGAAUGGCAGAGGAUCCCCAAAUCCAAGUGUGAAAACCUUGUUGCAUCUUUCCCAAAAAGACUCAUGGCUGUAUUAGAUCAAAAGGGUGC